This is a long non-coding RNA of Trifolium pratense (red clover), 549 nucleotides long. RefSeq lists it as uncharacterized. The record is from RefSeq and is a predicted model, not a curated record. The transcript is spliced from 4 exons. NCBI's taxonomy places the organism in Eukaryota, Viridiplantae, Streptophyta, Magnoliopsida, Fabales, Fabaceae.
UCAAAAAAUUCAAAUGGUUCACUUUCCCAAAAUUCCAUUUUGCGAAGCUCUCUGUGAAGAACAGAAGGCGCCACGCUAGACCACCAUGAUGAUGGACGACCGACCUCCGUGCAAGACACCUCAAAGUCGUUUCUUCUCCAUCUUCAUUGAAACGGGAGCUAAAGUUAAUCCUUUAAUCUGAAUUGGUCUCGGAAGCUUGUGCGCAGUUGACUCGGGAGUUCUUUAUGGAGGUCAUGUUGCGACUGCUUAUCAAAUGUAGUUCAAAAUUAUAUUUAGAGGUCAGAAAAGAUGCCACUCAAAUUGUCGCAAAUCUACAAAGAAAAUUGGUUCAGUCUAAGUUGAUUGCAUCUCAUUACUGGAGAAAAAUAUGGAUAUUUUGAUAAUUGGAUGAUAUACAUUCAAGAUUACAAAUGAUGGCUUGUUGAUCCCACCUUUCUUCAAUGCUGAGAAUUGUAUAAAGACAUUUUAAUUUCCAAAGGUACUUCCAUUUUUUCAUCUUUGUCUUACCUUCAAUAUAUAAACUCUACAUUUUCUUUAUGGUCAAUUUGA